RNAcentral lists this ribosomal RNA (753 nucleotides) under uncultured Bacteroidota bacterium. RNAcentral's name for it is "bacterial SSU rRNA". It matches the Rfam family "Bacterial small subunit ribosomal RNA", at positions 8 to 751 of the family's 1533-position model. Lineage: Bacteria; Pseudomonadati; Bacteroidota. The record is from RNAcentral.
AGAGUUUGAUCCUGGCUCAGGAUGAACGCUAGCGGCAGGCUUAAUACAUGCAAGUCGAGGGGCAGCAUGAGUGUAGCAAUACAUUCGAUGGCGACCGGCAAACGGGUGCGGAACACGUACACAACCUUCCUUCGAGCGGGGAAUAGCCCAGAGAAAUUUGGAUUAAUACCCCAUAGUAUGGUGAAAAGGCAUCUUUUUACUAUUAAAGAUUUAUCACUUGAAGAUGGGUGUGCGGCUGAUUAGGUAGUUGGCGGGGUAACGGCCCACCAAGCCGACGAUCAGUAACUGGUGUGAGAGCACGACCAGUCACACGGGCACUGAGACACGGGCCCGACUCCUACGGGAGGCAGCAGUAAGGAAUAUUGGUCAAUGGACGAAAGUCUGAACCAGCCAUGCCGCGUGGAGGAUGAAGGUCCUCUGGAUUGUAAACUUCUUUUAUAUGGGACGAAAAAGGGCUUUUCUAAGUCAACUGACGGUACCAUAUGAAUAAGCACCGGCUAACUCCGUGCCAGCAGCCGCGGUAAUACGGAGGGUGCAAGCGUUAUCCGGAUUCACUGGGUUUAAAGGGUGCGUAGGUGGGUCGGUAAGUCAGUGGUGAAAUCUCCGAGCUUAACUUGGAAACUGCCAUUGAUACUAUCGAUCUUGAAUACUGUGGAGGUCAGCGGAAUAUGUCAUGUAGCGGUGAAAUGCUUAGAUAUGACAUAGAACACCAAUUGCGAAAGGCAGCUGGCUACACAAAUAUUGACACUGAGG